Molecule: transfer RNA, 75 nt
Filed under: Clostridium sp.
Lineage: Bacteria; Bacillati; Bacillota; Clostridia; Eubacteriales; Clostridiaceae
Also listed under: 3 other names
Description: tRNA-Glu
Rfam family: tRNA
About the family: Transfer RNA (tRNA) molecules are approximately 80 nucleotides in length. Their secondary structure includes four short double-helical elements and three loops (D, anti-codon, and T loops).
Source: RNAcentral
GGCCCAUUGGUCAAGUGGUUAAGACAUCGCCCUUUCACGGCGGUAACAGGGGUUCGAAUCCCCUAUGGGUCACCA